Molecule: ribosomal RNA, 128 nt
Filed under: Escherichia coli
Lineage: Bacteria; Pseudomonadati; Pseudomonadota; Gammaproteobacteria; Enterobacterales; Enterobacteriaceae
Description: partial 23S ribosomal RNA
Rfam family: Bacterial large subunit ribosomal RNA (bases 1-111)
Source: RNAcentral
ACUUAGAGUCUCCUGAAGGAACGUUGAAGACGACGACGUUGAUAGGCCGGGUGUGUAAGCGCAGCGAUGCGUUGAGCUAACCGGUACUAAUGAACCGUGAGGCUUAACCUUACAACGCCGAAGCUGUU